CGCGGCCUAUCAGCUUGUUGGUGAGGUAACGGCUCACCAAGGCAUCGACGGGUAGCUGGUCUGAGAGGAUGAUCAGCCACACUGGAACUGAGACACGGUCCAGACUCCUACGGGAGGCAGCAGUGGGGAAUAUUGCACAAUGGGCGCAAGCCUGAUGCAGCAACGCCGCGUGCGGGAAGAAGGCCCUAGGGUUGUAAACCGCUUUCAGCAGGGAAGAAACUGACGGUACCUGCAGAAGAAGGUGCGGCCAACUACGUGCCAGCAGCCGCGGUGACACGUAGGCACCAAGCGUUGUCCGGAUUUAUUGGGCGUAAAGAGCUCGUAGGCGGUUCAGUAAGUCGGGUGUGAAAACUCUGGGCUCAACCCAGAGACGCCACCCGAUACUGCUGUGACUCGAGUACGGUAGGGGAGCGGGGAAUUCCUGGUGUAGCGGUGAAAUGCGCAGAUAUCAGGAGGAACACCAGUGGCGAAGGCGCCGCUCUGGGCCGUAACUGACGCUGAGGAGCGAAAGCAUGGGUAGCAAACAGGAUUAGAUACCCUGGUAGUCCAUGCCGUAAACGUUGGGCACUAGGUGUGGGUCUCAACCAACGAGAUCCGCGCCGUCGCUAACGCAUUAAGUGCCCCGCCUGGGGAGUACGG
This 639-nucleotide ribosomal RNA is filed under the name uncultured Ilumatobacter sp. RNAcentral describes it as "bacterial SSU rRNA". It matches the Rfam family "Bacterial small subunit ribosomal RNA", at positions 232 to 885 of the family's 1533-position model. Lineage: Bacteria; Bacillati; Actinomycetota; Acidimicrobiia; Acidimicrobiales; Ilumatobacteraceae. The record is from RNAcentral.